GGGUUUUUUAAUUCACUGGCUUUAUCGCCUGAUACAACGCCAGAUGAAGUCGGUAAAUUAUAAGUUGGAUCCCUGCCCAGAAGACCUAAAACAACCGGAACAGGAGAUGACAUUAUUGCUUGGUUCUUUCCCCUACGCCGAGAGGUCCCAGCUCCAGUUUGUGACUUUCCAAUUUGCCCUUUACUUUGCAUCUGUGCAGAUGGAUAUCUGGGAGCAGUUUGAGCCAGAGUAGUAACAGAGGGCAAAGGAAGCGGUAACUGUGAAUUCAAAACAACCCCAGCGCCCAAAUUAGUGUUUCCACUGUUUGAAGCGGAACCUGAAAUGGCUGAUGGUGUGUUGAUAACAGAGUAUUGUUACAGGAGUCAUGAGUUGAAUGGUGCAGCAGAAUAAUGGAUUAGCAUGGAAUUCUCUACAGGUUCAGUGGCAUUGGGUUAUUGGUUUGAUAGACUUGGUAUCAACUUGAUACAGGUUUUACAUGGUUGCAGAAGGCUGUUGUUUAGCAUUGACACAUGUAAGAAUCAAUAACUUUUUGACAGGAUUUGUGAUGAAUUGUUGCAAACAUGUUGUGGUCUGCAGGUUUCAUUGAUCCAUUAUUAUGCUGCUUUGGUUUUCUCCUCAUGGUUGCAGCAAGAUAAACCACUCUUCAAUUUGAUUUCAUAUAGCAUGACACUGCUGUUGGCACAUUCAUGAUCGACCUGGCAUUGCAGACCUUGGAAUAAUGUUGCUGACCUGUGAUGCCUUGCACAUUUAAAGUCAUGUUGGUAUGUAUC
This is a long non-coding RNA of Lathyrus oleraceus (garden pea), 770 nucleotides long. RefSeq lists it as uncharacterized. Lineage: Eukaryota; Viridiplantae; Streptophyta; Magnoliopsida; Fabales; Fabaceae. The record is from RefSeq and is a predicted model, not a curated record. The transcript has 3 exons.